CUGGUAGCCCUGGAGACUGAAGUCUUCUGUUUAACCACAGAGCAGGUCUGAGAGUGGUCACAUCAGCAGAAGCUUCUUCCCACUGCCCUGCCAAUAUCGGAAUCCCCUCUGAGUGUGAGAGCAGAGGUCAGGUCGGGCUGCAAAACCAUUUAUUUCUUGGCCUUC
Molecule: small RNA, 165 nt
Filed under: Chrysemys picta bellii (western painted turtle)
Lineage: Eukaryota; Metazoa; Chordata; Testudines; Emydidae
Description: TUC338 (ENSCPBG00000011804.1)
Source: RNAcentral